CUGGCUCAAGAAGAACUCUGGCGGCGUGCUUAGCACAUGCAAGUCGAACGAUGAAGCGGUGCUUGCACCGUGGAUUAGUGGCGAACGGGUGAGUAAUACGUGAUUGACCUACCUUUGACUCUGGGAGAAACCUGGGAAACUGGGUCUAAUACCGGAUACGACCAAUCUCUGCAUGGGGUGUUGGUGGAAAGCGUUAUGGAGUGGUUUUACAUGGGCUCACGGCCUAUCAACUUGGUGGUGAGGUAAUGGCUUACCAAGGCGACGACGGGUAGCCGGCCUGACAGGGUGACCGGCCACACUGGGACUGAGACACAGCCCAUACUCCUACGGGAGGCAGCAGUGGGGAAUAUUUGCACAAUGGGCGCAAGCCCGAUGCAGCGACGCCGCGUGAGGGAUGACGGCCUUCUGGUUGUAAACCUCUGUUAGCAUCGAAGAAGCGAAAGUGACGGUAGGUGCAGAGAAAGCGCCGGCUAACUACGUGCCAGCAGCCGCGGUAAUACGUAGGGCGCGAGCGUUGUCCGGAAUUAUUGGGCGUAAAGAGCUUGUAGGCGGUUGGUCGCGUCUGCUGUGAAAGGCCGGGGCUUAACUCCGGUUUUGCAGUGGGUACGGGCUAACUAGAGUGCAGUAGGGGAGACUGGAAUUCCUGGUGUAGCGGUGGAAUGCACAGGUAUCAGGAGGAACACCGAUGGCGAAGGCAGGUCUCUGGGCUGUAACUGACGCUGAGAAGCGAAAGCAUGGGGAGCGAACAGGAUUAGAUACCCUGGUAGUCCAUGCCGUAAACGUUGGGCACUAGGUGUGGGGGACAUUCCACGUUUUCCGCGCCGUAGCUAACGCAUUAAGUGCCCCGCCUGGGGAGUACGGCCGCAAGGCUAAAACUCAAAGGAAUUGACGGGGGCCCGCACAAGCGGCGGAGCAUGCGGAUUAAUUCGAUGCAACGCGAAGAACCUUACCAAGGCUUGACAUGCAUUAGAUCGCGUCAGAGAUGGCGUUUCCCUUCGGGGCUGGUGUACAGGUGGUGCAUGGUUGUCGUCAGCUCGUGUCGUGAGAUGUUGGGUUAAGUCCCGCAACGAGCGCAACCCUCGUUCUAUGUUGCUAGCGGUUCGGCCGGGGACUCAUAGGAGACUGCCGGGGUCAACUCGGAGGAAGGUGGGGAUGACGUCAAAUCAUCAUGCCCCUUAUGUCUUGGGCUUCACGCAUGCUACAAUGGCCGGUACAGAGGGUUGCGAUACUGUGAGGUGGAGCUAAUCCCUUAAAGCCGGUCUCAGUUCGGAUUGGGGUCUGCAACUCGACCCCAUGAAGUCGGAGUCGCUAGUAAUCGCAGAUCAGCAACGCUGCGGUGAAUACGUUCCCGGGCCUUGUACACACCGCCCGUC
RNAcentral lists this ribosomal RNA (1373 nucleotides) under uncultured bacterium. Its description in RNAcentral is "16S ribosomal RNA". It matches the Rfam family "Bacterial small subunit ribosomal RNA". The record is from RNAcentral.